RNAcentral lists this ribosomal RNA (468 nucleotides) under uncultured bacterium. RNAcentral's name for it is "partial 16S ribosomal RNA". It matches the Rfam family "Bacterial small subunit ribosomal RNA", at positions 28 to 507 of the family's 1533-position model. The record is from RNAcentral.
GACGAACGCUGGCGGCGUGCUUAACACAUGCAAGUCGAACGGAAAGGCCCUGCUUUUGUGGGGUGCUCGAGUGGCGAACGGGUGAGUAACACGUGAGUAACCUGCCCUUGACUUUGGGAUAACUUCAGGAAACUGGGGCUAAUACCGGAUAGGAGCUCCUGCUGCAUGGUGGGGGUUGGAAAGUUUCGGCGGUUGGGGAUGGACUCGCGGCUUAUCAGCUUGUUGGUGGGGUAGUGGCUUACCAAGGCUUUGACGGGUAGCCGGCCUGAGAGGGUGACCGGCAACAUUGGGACUGAGAUACGGACCAGACUCCUACGGGAGGCAGCAGUGGGGAAUAUUGCACAAUGGGCGGAAGCCUGAUGCAGCAACGCCGCGUGCGGGAUGACGGCCUUCGGGUUGUAAACCGCUUUCGCCUGUGACGAAGCGUGAGUGACGGUAAUGGGUAAAGAAGCACCGGCUAACUACGUG